GGGUCAAUAGCUCAGUUGGUUAGAGCACCGGACUCAUAAUCCGGCGGUCCUUGGUUCGAGUCCAAGUUGACCCA
Molecule: transfer RNA, 74 nt
Filed under: Candidatus Poribacteria bacterium
Lineage: Bacteria; Candidatus Poribacteria
Description: tRNA-Met
Rfam family: tRNA
About the family: Transfer RNA (tRNA) molecules are approximately 80 nucleotides in length. Their secondary structure includes four short double-helical elements and three loops (D, anti-codon, and T loops).
Source: RNAcentral